RNAcentral lists this unclassified non-coding RNA (230 nucleotides) under uncultured Sordariomycetes. RNAcentral describes it as "sequence contains ITS1". Lineage: Eukaryota; Fungi; Ascomycota; Sordariomycetes. The record is from RNAcentral.
CAGAGUUAUUCCAAACUCCCAACCCUUUGUGAACCAUAUCGUCGUUGCCUCGGCGUGAGCGGCAGCUACCCUGGAGUAGUUACCCUGUAGUAGCUGGGAGCACCUACCCUGUAGGAGCUACCCUGUAGCUAGAGGGCAUCUACCCUGGAGCUGCAAACAACGCCCGCCGGAGGACCACUAAACUCUUGUUUUUACCAUGUAUUUCUGAAUGCUUCAACUAUAAAUAGUUA